RNAcentral lists this transfer RNA (66 nucleotides) under Scyllarides latus (Mediterranean slipper lobster). RNAcentral describes it as "tRNA-Lys". Lineage: Eukaryota; Metazoa; Arthropoda; Malacostraca; Decapoda; Scyllaridae. The record is from RNAcentral.
CACCCGAUGUCUGAAAGAAAGUAUAGGUCUUUUAAACCUAUUAUGGUAAUCGCCUACCUCUGGUGA